Molecule: unclassified non-coding RNA, 1410 nt
Filed under: Hevea brasiliensis (rubber tree)
Lineage: Eukaryota; Viridiplantae; Streptophyta; Magnoliopsida; Malpighiales; Euphorbiaceae
Source: RNAcentral
GGGGGGUGGGGUGGUGGAGGUGUGGGUGGGGUGUGGUGGAGAGGAGAAAGUUACAAAUGCCAAUCUCUUUACACACUUCCUUACUUAUCUUAAAAUGUUAAUAAAGUUCUUUUGUGAAAGUAGGGAUAUAUUCUACUCAAGCCUUGUGAGGGGGACACUGGUAGCACUUGGUGAAGAGGCCAAAUGUAUCAAUUUGACGUAUGAAGUUAAGCAUACUUGCCCAUCCUCCAAACCCAAAUCCCACAACAAAAACCCAUACUACCACAAAUAUGUUCAUGCAAAAUUGGCCAACCCAUCCUCCAAGAAAUGAUGGUGGUCUCUCUACUGCAUUCUGUUCUCGAGGAAAAAAGAAAUAGCAGUUAGUGUAUGUGUCCAACACUAAAAUCAAACCAUUUCUAAAGCUAAGUAAUAAGGAAUUAAUUAAGAGGGAUAGCUAACCUCCCGUGCGGAUGCAGUUGAGAAAGUAAUCAUGUGUGCUAAUGCAGGAAUUAUGUAGACUGUAAAGCUGACAAGAAGAGAUCCAACAGUUGAGUUGAUAGGACCAAAGAAAGGAAAGACAAUGGCCAAGAACCAUAUUGGUAUCACCACAGGAAGUCUAGCCAAAGCCCUCUUGAACACACUCUUUGUUUCAUGUACUCUAAUGAAUUUUUCCCACACAAAGUAUAAGGGAGUGCAAGCAAACCCAAAUGUUAUGAACUGCAACCAAAGAAUGAAAGUUUUUGUUACCGUUUUCUGAAAACAAUCCAAUUUUGAACUCAUAUUUAUAUAUAAUUAAUGAAUGGUAAUUAAUUAACCUGAUGGAUUAGCAUGAGAACAACUGCAGUAUCUCUAUAUCCAGUCCUUGGGAGUAAAGAGAGGGCAUUAGAAUGAGUAAGUAGCAGGUCCCCAAAUGCCCAAUAAACAGCAGAAGCUGAGGGUAGUGUUAGAGUUAACACAUAUAAUGUUGCCAUCAAAUAUAUUAGCUUGAAUUUCUGUGGCUUCCACAUUGCAUGCAUAAUUUCCACUGUAACAGCAUGCCCACCGAAGGUGUAAAGAAUGUUGGUAGCCCCAGUAAAGUAGAGAACCAUUGUGGUUGGACCAGAGUGCUUCGCUCCUUCAACCUGUCCAUGAAUAAGGGAAGCAAUUGUGAGAUACCAUGCAGUAUAAGUAGUCAUCAUAAGGCCUAAGAAUGACCAAAUUCUGUAAUUAUGGAAGGAAGGAAUGAAGACAGUAGUUGCACAACAUGCUCCAAAGAUGUAGGUCCAUGUUCUCUUGUCCAGAUUAUCAUUUAUGUAGUAGAUGUUACUUGCACAAGCAAUCAACUGGAUCACAGAUCCAAACAGAAGAAACGUGCAGUUGAAAACUAAGCCUGCAUUUCUCCAGUGUUUCCCCAGCAGCCCAUCAAGGACUUCAAACCACUGAAUUACAUGA